Molecule: long non-coding RNA, 1728 nt
Filed under: Homo sapiens (human)
Lineage: Eukaryota; Metazoa; Chordata; Mammalia; Primates; Hominidae
Description: HSALNT0060119
Source: RNAcentral
GUGUUGUCUGAAAGCCCCUGGACUAACUCCAGUCCCCAACCACCUGUUAGGGUGUCAGCAAAAGGACCUCUGGUGCCUGCCUUCCUUUCUCUUUCUCUCUCUCUCUCUCUUUCUUUCCAGCUGUCAUGGUUCCUGUCUCCUCUCCUGUUAAAUGUUAAGAAUGUUGUUGUAAGCCACAGAAAUAUUGCUGGGUAGAAUGAGCAUUUGGCUUAGUCAUCAGGAGGGUAAAUGAGAACAAUGUGGUGCCUGUCCAUUCUUGGAAGCAAGAAGAAUAUAACAAUUGAGAGUUUUCUUUCCCCUACUGAAGGAACCCAUAUGCAUAGGACAAGAGGCUUUUUCCCCAGGCACCUUCCCCUCCCCUACACUUAAGUUGUAAUUUUGGGAGGCAUCUCAGGAGACCAGGUCCCCAGUUUCCAGGACUCCCUUUCUCUCCCUCGUUUGAGGAGGACCUGGUCCCAUAGCUUCACCUGUUUAUGACAGGGAAGCAAUGGAGGAGUUGCCUUGCUGGUUGCUGGCUGCAAUUUGGUGAGGGCCAACUGAGACUAAUUUAAUGGAUCCAUACACCUUCCUGAGGCAUCUUUUUCCCAAGUUUUGGUUUGAGGCCCUAGAAAGGAAAACUAGAUCUGAGGGAUUCAAAGGCAUAAUACAGCAGAAGUCUAGGGCACAGCACAGGUGAGUAUGACUAAUUCCUGCUGAUUAGGGCCCUUCUGCUUCAUGGAUGGAGGUCAUGCUCACAUCCAUGGCACAGAUAAGGUCUAGGGAACUCAAAGGUUACUGACAGCGGGAGGCUUAGGCACCACACAGUGAGUGCGAAUAUUCCUGCUGGCUAUGCCUCCCCUGCCUUCAUGUGUGAAGGUUGCGCUUGCACCCACAGUCAGCACCUGCACAGGUCACUGGAACUCAGGGAUAUAAGGUCAGAAGAAAGAAAUGGGACACCUUUUUUUCUCUCCCUCACAUACCCUGGGUAUUCACUGGAAGGAGAAAGGAACAAAGGAAUGCCUUUUUCCCUCAUUUCAGAUGGGUAACCAACCAUCCUCAGCCUGCACUCCCCUUGAGUGUAUUCUGAAUCACUGGGACUCCGUUGACCCUCAGACUGUAGAGAAAGAGGAAAAAACCUUUUCCCUCCUCUGUCCUCUCUUCCAGCCAGGCAUGACCAUGUAACAGUUUGGGCUGCUGAGCCAGAAGGGAAAGAGUACUACUGCUAGACUUCCAGGAAGGCUGCUCUAAGAAAGAUGACUCAGAGGUUGCACUUUUUUAGUUUUGGGGGUUUUUUUCCCUCUACUUCCUGCUUCUUGGAACUAGGACAUGAUGUCUGGAACUCUAGCAGCCAUUUUGGACCAUGAGGUGAUUGUGCGACUAGAAGACACAUCGUAGAAUGGAGCACCAAGACGAAAGCCCCCAAAGCUGCCCUAUAAGACCUGGACUUCAAACCAGCAAACUUCUUCCAUGUGAGAGAGAAAUAAGCUUAGGUUUUGUUUCUGCCAGUGUUAUCUUUGUUUUCGGUUAUGAGCCACUAAAUGUGAUCCCACUUGUUACCCCAGUCAUUCUCCCAACUUCCUAGACCCAUUAAUAGCAUUCUACACUCACAGUCCAUCAGUGGUGCAAGACUACAACACGAUUUUAAAUCCAAAAGUGAUAUAAAUGAUUUUGUGAUUCUGUGCUGCUGAGAUAUGUGCUUUUUUCAACUUGCAAAAUAUACUAUUGAAAUCUAUAGUUAAAAAAAAAAGA